UGAAAACUGCCUUUCCUUUCAAACUAAAAGUGAAGAGGGAAAAUGGAAAUUUGACAACUGCCAGAAGAAGAGCACCUACAUGUGCAAGAAAAGAGCAAGAGGACAGAAACCGGAACCUCCACGCCAUGACGGUUUUCGGGAGAUCCUUGUGUGCAACCAGCAGAAGCACGUCGACCUCUUUUGUCAGAGUGAGGGUCAAAGCGUCAUCCGCAUCCAGUCGGCUUUCUACGGACGGAGGAGUGGCAGCCUUUG
Molecule: long non-coding RNA, 252 nt
Organism: Syngnathus acus (greater pipefish)
Lineage: Eukaryota; Metazoa; Chordata; Actinopteri; Syngnathiformes; Syngnathidae
Exons: 3
Source: RefSeq, a predicted model, not a curated record